GAUUGGCACAUGGUUACUUGUAUGAGUUACUUACUUGAUGCAUGUGUUGCCAAGGCUGUGUCACCUGUGCCACUCGCUUGCACACACUGUUCUGAGCACUAUGAAUGAGACUUCUGUCUCCCAGUGGCCUGUGAGGUGGACUCUACCCUGCAGACUUGCUCUUGAGUAGCAGUGCUCGCCUCAAGGGAGGGACCUGGAGUCCAGGGCAAGAAGGUGGACUUUAGUAGGAAGAGCCCAGGAAGCUGUGGCAAAGGAGAAACCCCAGCUCCUUGGCAGAUGAUUGGAGCAGGAGCGCCCUGUACCUGCCCUGCCUGCCUCCCCUGCACUUGUCACCCACACCUGCCCGGUGACUCUGUGCUUCAGACUUGCAGAUGGGCCACACACUGCAUGGGUGCACCUUCCCAGGUAAAAGUACCACCAAGACCCUGGACGUCUAUCCUUUGGCACUUAUGGUCUCCAAGUCUCAGGUCAGUUUCCCAGUUUCCCGUAGCCCCCGGUGGUCAACGAGGACCGGGGAACGCUCAGAACAUCCAGGAUUAUAGGCAGCCAGGCCUGUGCACAUAUGGCUGGUGGAGGCUGUGCCCAUGUGGCAGGACCCGUGUCUGCACCUACCCUGUGGAGUCACCAUAACCACAGGCACCAGUGUCUUCUGUAGCUCACAGCUGGGCAAAGGAAGACACAGGUCCCAUUGGAUCUUCCACACUUUUUUCUGACAUCAGGAACGUCCUGAGCCUUAACAGAGUUUAUUCUCUGGCAGGAAAACCCUCCACUGGGUGAGGUAUAAAUAGGCCAAAGGGGACAAGGGGGCCCAUUUCGAUUGCAUCUUCUGGCCCGAGCCCACACAUGGUACCUGUUACACAGCUGGUCAGCCUGAGGGAGCUGCUGGCCAAACGAGAAUCUCUUUGAUUAGUCCACCUCAAGAUGGACACGUGGGCAGCAUCUCCUACCGGGGCCCUCAAAAUCUCAGCCUAACUCCCAAUCAGAGCAUGGCGAAGCCUCUCAGGAUUUUCCAGGCAUAGAGAUUCACACCAGUAAUCCCAGCACUCUUGGAAGGCUGAGGUGGGAGGAUCACUUGGGCCCAGAGGUUUGAGACCACGUUGAGCAACAUAGGAAAACCCCAUCUCUACGAAAAAAUUUCGGAAGUAAGUGGGGUGUGGUGCACACCUGUAGUCCCAGCUCCUCAGGAGGCUGAGGCAGGUGGUUUGCUUGGGCUCAGGAGUUUGAGGCUACAGUGAGCUGUGACGUCACCACUGCAUUCCAGCCUGGGUGACAGAGUGAGACCCCAUCUCCAAAAAAAUGUCUCCAGUAUUGUGGUACCCAGAUGUAGCCAGGUGAUAGCACAGAGACCACAGCCUUGAAAGGAGAGUCAAUGACAGUGCCCAGGACAGGCAGAAGGAGCGAGGAGACCUCAGGGGCAGCCACCUUCACUGACCCAGGGUGAGGUGGGCAAUGCACAGCCCAGGGGCCAAUGCCCAUUUGUCCACUGCAGUGCAGAGCAGGGGAACAUUGGCUUGCCAUGUCAAGUUGGUGAAUAAAUGGUUGAGGGCUCUGGAUUGAUUCGUUUGCAUGUGAAAGGCCUGUGCACAGGCAGGGCCUUUGUGCCACUAUUUCUAGACAUUCUUGGCCCAGGGAGGAGCAGUGUCUCCAGGACUAGCAAGGCUCUAAGAUGUCAAACCAUCAUAGAGUGCAGACAGUGAGCAGCAGGCUGCCAAGGGGUGAAAUACGACUGACACAUAAAACUGCAGCCUGGGUGCAGCCUGUAGGCGAGGUGUGGGCUGGACCUGAGAUGCCGGAGUUGUCACCAGGACAGUGUGACCAGAGCAUGAAGAUGGACAGGCUGGCCACGGGGGCUUCUAGAACCUUCAGAAUCCUGAGGGUGGGACCUGAAAGGACCCCAAGGUUAAGGGUUGAGCAGAGGGCAAGAUACAGGUUAAGACUGAGGAAGAUCAGGUGGGUCCACAUGGCAAGAAGGGGCUGGGCUUGCUGCACAAGCCAAAGGGUUGGGGAUGGGGUCACAGCGUGUGUCUUAGGUUGUGUAGGCAGGUCAGAGGUCAGCAUCCUAGAUUCCACCCUGUUCCAACCGCGCUUCAUACUGACACUGGCCCUGAGAGGAGCUGUGGACUGGACCUCCUGACUGCCGCAGUCACCACACAGAGAAGGGCUCAGGGGAGGGCCAGGACAUUACAGCCUCUGUGAGAGGUUGCCUGGGCGGGGCAUUCAGAGGGGGUGAGGACGGUCAGCACAAAAUAGCAUUAUCCCCAGGCCUGCAAAGAUACCUGCAACAUGUGUGAUGUUAUGUCUGUUGAAUUUGUCAGGGUUCCACCACUGCAGAUGCCCUACAGGGGAUGGUCACAAACUCCAGCACACCAGUGUCCAGGUGUAGCGGGGAAAGGGGCUUCUCCCAUCCUUGGAAGCUCCCAGGCUGCACUGCCUUCCCAGGCCCCAGCCACCAGGCCACUGCUCAGCAUCUCUGGCCUGCUGCAGAGGCAGCACCUAAGCUAGUCUUGACCAGCUUUAGAGAGCAGACACCCGAAGUAAUUUCAAAGACAAAGUUAGCAUCUUUAUUACGACCCUCAAGCUACCUGCAGGGCCUGCACACCAUGGGGGUCUGCGCACGAGAGGGGGAUCUUUUAGGCUCCCACUCCCUCAGCCAGCACCGGCCCCACACAUGAGACAGCAUAUGUAACUGUGCUUUUUUCUUAAUGACACAUUUAAGUAAUAUAAUUGAAUAAAGUAUUUUAAUGACUAUCUGGGGUAACAUAUAUAUGAUAUGUUUGAAACUUUGCUCUUAAUGCCUUAAAAAUUCCUUAAAAUGGGGCACCGGCCCCAUAUGCUGAGGGUGGCAGGUUCAAACCCAGCCCCAGCCAAACUGCAACAACAACAACAACAACAACAAAAAAAAAAUAGCCGGGCGUUGUGGCCGGCGCGUGUGGUUCCAGCUGCUCGGGAGGCUGAGGCAAGAGAAUCGCGUAGACCCAAGAGUUGGAAGUUGCUGUGAGCCGUGUGACGCCACGGCACUCUACCCGAGGGUGACACAGUGAGACUCUGUCUCUACAAAAAAAAAAAAAAAAAUUCCUUAAAAUGUUCAUGUUUGAGGCAAAAUGAACACCCACUAGCUGGUUCACUAUUAGGCUGUAUAGUUACAACAUUCUGGGAGAUGGAGUUUGUUGUGUGCGGGAGCCCAGACAGGAGUGUGUGCACAUGCCACGCACACAGGCCACUCCACCACAUCCUCACUUUACCUGUCUUUUGCCACAUGCUUCUGUUUACCUGAAACUCAGGUCAUAUGUGAAGUUGUGUCCAGAGACAAAUUCUGGACCUGAACUCAACCUGCAAGUGAGGCCUCCUCUUCCUCUCUCAGGUGGGCAGGAGACUCUGCUGUGCACUCAGGUCAGAGGCCUCAGAACCCACCUUUCUCUCACUGGUCAGGACCACACCAGACUAGAAAGGAGAUUGUGGGGUCUAUUCUAAACCUUUAUAUGAGAUUUAUAUAUGGGCCAGGCUGAGCUGCGUUGUGUGUGGUCACCUGGCCACCAGACACCUGCCUUGAGGUUUGUUUUCUUGCAGUCACUGUGUAGCUGUGGGUUCAGAGUUCAGUCAUCAGCCUGGGCCCAAGCCCCUCCCUGGCUGAGUGCAGCCUCACUGGUGCCCACCUACUGCUCAGGGGAGUUUGCAUUCAGGCAGUUUAAGACUCAGUUGAUGCUCAAAAGCCCUUCAUUUACCUGAAAAUUGUCAGAGAAUGUUAUAUGUGUUAUAUCUCCCUGGGCUGGUCUUAUGGCAGUUAAGUGCAACACAGGUGGGGGAAUUGCCACUCCUUUCCAGAGGCAGA
RNA transcript from Nycticebus coucang (slow loris), 3829 nucleotides. It is a transcript of the gene named probable E3 SUMO-protein ligase RNF212, with no coding region annotated. The transcript has 5 exons. The record is from RefSeq and is a predicted model, not a curated record. NCBI's taxonomy places the organism in Eukaryota, Metazoa, Chordata, Mammalia, Primates, Lorisidae.